Molecule: small nuclear RNA, 166 nt
Organism: Suncus etruscus (white-toothed pygmy shrew)
Lineage: Eukaryota; Metazoa; Chordata; Mammalia; Eulipotyphla; Soricidae
Product: U1 spliceosomal RNA
Exons: 1
Source: RefSeq, a predicted model, not a curated record
AUACUUACCUGGCAGUGGAGAUUCCAUGAUCAGGAAGGUGAUUUCCCCAGGAUGAGGCUCACUCAUUGCACUCCAGAUGUGCUGACCCCUGCGUUUUCUCCAAAUGUGGGAAACUCGAUUGUGUAUAAUUUAUGAUAGUGGGGUACUGCAUUUGUGCUUUCCCCUG